UGGGGAAUUUUGGACAAUGGGGGCAACCCUGAACCAGCCAUGCCGCGUGUGUGAGGAAGGCCUUCGGGUUGUAAAGCACUUUCGGCCGGAACGAAAUCGCGCGGAUUAACACUCCGCGUGGAUGACGGUACCGGAAGAAGAAGCACCGGCUAACUACGUGCCAGCAGCCGCGGUUAUACGUAGGGUGCGAGCGUUAAUCGGAAUUACUGGGCGUAAAGUGUGCGCAGGUGGCGGCGCAAGUCGAGUGUGAAAUCCCCGGGCUUAACUUGGGAAUUGCGCUCGAAACUACGUGGCUGGAGUGUGGCAGAGGAAGGUGGAAUUCCACGUGUAGCGGGGAAAUGCGUAGAGAUGUGGAGGACCACCGAUGGCGAAGGCAGCAUUCUGGGCCAACACUGACACUCAUGCACGAAAGCGUGGGGAGCAAACAGG
Molecule: ribosomal RNA, 429 nt
Filed under: Bacillota bacterium
Lineage: Bacteria; Bacillati; Bacillota
Description: Firmicutes bacterium partial 16S ribosomal RNA
Rfam family: Bacterial small subunit ribosomal RNA
Source: RNAcentral